RNAcentral lists this ribosomal RNA (474 nucleotides) under uncultured soil bacterium. RNAcentral describes it as "bacterial SSU rRNA". It matches the Rfam family "Bacterial small subunit ribosomal RNA", at positions 8 to 497 of the family's 1533-position model. The record is from RNAcentral.
AGAGUUUGAUCCUGGCUCAGGACGAACGCUGGCGGCGUGCAUAACACAUGCAAGUCAAGGGGGCCCGCAAGGGCAACCGGCGAACGGGUGCGUAACACGUGAGCAACCUACCUCUGUAUGGGGCAUAGCCGGCCUAACGGCCGGGUAAUUCCGCAUACGAUCUUCGAGAGACAUCUCUUGUUGAUGAAACGCGCAAGCGGUACGGAGAGGGGCUCGCGGCCUAUCAGCUAGUUGGUGAGGGUAAUGGCCCACCAAGGCGACGACGGGUAGCUGGUCUGAGAGGAUGGCCAGCCACAUUGGGACUGAGAAACGGCCCAGACUCCUACGGGAGGCAGCAGUGGGGAAUCUUGCGCAAUGGCCUAACGGCUGACGCAGCGACGCCGCGUGAGGGAUGAAGCUCUUCGGAGUGUAAACCUCUGUUGCCCGGGACGAAUGGCGACUUUGUCGACGUGACGUACCGGGGAGAAGCCCGGC